This 253-nucleotide ribosomal RNA is filed under the name uncultured bacterium. Its description in RNAcentral is "partial 16S ribosomal RNA". It matches the Rfam family "Bacterial small subunit ribosomal RNA", at positions 524 to 776 of the family's 1533-position model. The record is from RNAcentral.
UACGUAGGUGGCAAGCGUUGUCCGGACUUACUGGGCGUAAAGAGCGCGCAGGCGGUCGUUCAAGUCGCGUGUGAAAGCCCCCGGCUCAACUGGGGAGGGUCACGCGAUACUGAUCGACUCGAAGGCAGGAGAGGGUAGUGGAAUUCCCGGUGUAGUGGUGAAAUGCGUAGAUAUCGGGAGGAACACCAGUGGCGAAGGCGGCUACCUGGCCCACUCUUGACGCUGAGGCGCGAAAGCUAGGGGAGCAAACGGG